CCUACGGGAUGCAGCAGUGGGGGAUAUUGCACAAUGGGGGGAACCCUGAUGCAGCGACGCCGCGUGGGUGAAGGAGUGCUUCGGCAUGUAAAGCCCUAUCGGCAGGGAAGAAGCAAGACGGUACCUGACUAAGAAGCCCCGGCUAACUACGUGCCAGCAGCCGCGGUAAUACGGAGGGGGCGAGCGUUAUCCGGAUUCACUGGGUGUAAAGGGAGCGUAGACGGCCAUGCAAGCCAGGGGUGAAAGCCCGGGGCCCAACCCCGGGACUGCCCUUGGAACUGUGCGGCUAGAGUGCGGGAGGGGCAGGCGGAAUUCCGGGUGUAGCGGUGAAAUGCGUAGAUAUCAGGAGGAACACCGGCGGCGAAGGCGGCCUGCUGGACCGCGACUGACGUUGAGGCUCGAAAGCGUGGGGAGCGAACAGGAUUAGAUACCCUUGUAGUC
Molecule: ribosomal RNA, 441 nt
Filed under: uncultured bacterium
Lineage: Bacteria
Description: partial 16S ribosomal RNA
Rfam family: Bacterial small subunit ribosomal RNA
Source: RNAcentral